RNAcentral lists this ribosomal RNA (270 nucleotides) under uncultured Faecalibacterium sp. RNAcentral's name for it is "partial 16S ribosomal RNA". It matches the Rfam family "Bacterial small subunit ribosomal RNA", at positions 72 to 339 of the family's 1533-position model. The record is from RNAcentral. Lineage: Bacteria; Bacillati; Bacillota; Clostridia; Eubacteriales; Oscillospiraceae.
UGAGGAGCUUGCUCUUCAAAUCGAGUGGCGAACGGGUGAGUAACGCGUGAGGAACCUGCCUCAAAGAGGGGGACAACAGUUGGAAACGACUGCUAAUACCGCAUAAGCCCACGGCUCGGCAUCGAGCAGAGGGAAAAGGAGCGAUCCGCUUUGAGAUGGCCUCGCGUCCGAUUAGCUAGUUGGUGAGGUGACGGCCCACCAAGGCGACGAUCGGUAGCCGGUCUGAGAGGAUGAACGGCCACAUUGGAACUGAGACACGGCCCAAACUCC